Molecule: ribosomal RNA, 1303 nt
Filed under: uncultured bacterium
Lineage: Bacteria
Description: bacterial SSU rRNA
Rfam family: Bacterial small subunit ribosomal RNA
Source: RNAcentral
UGGCGGACGGGUGAGUAACGCGUGGGCAACCUGCCUUAUACAGGGGGAUAACAGCUGGAAACAGCUGCUAAUACCGCAUAAGCGCACAGUACUGCAUGGUACAGUGUGAAAAACUGAGGUGGUAUAAGAUGGGCCCGCGUCUGAUUAGCUUGUCGGCGGGGUAACGGCCCACCGAGGCGACGAUCAGUAGGGGUUCUGAGAGGAAGGUCCCCCACACUGGAACUGAGACACGGUCCAGACUCCUACGGGAGGCAGCAGUGAGGAAUAUUGGUCAAUGGAUGAGAAUCUGAACCAGCCAAGUAGCGUGCAGGAUGACGGCCCUAUGGGUUGUAAACUGCUUUUAUACGGGAAUAAAUGACGACACGUGUGUUGUUUUGUAGGUACCGUAUGAAUAAGGACCGGCUAAUUCCGUGCCAGCAGCCGCGGUAAUACGGAAGGUCCGGGCGUUAUCCGGAUUUAUUGGGUUUAAAGGGAGCGUAGGCCGGCGCUUAAGCGUGCCGUGAAAUGUCCCGGCUCAACCGGGACACUGCGGCGCGAACUGGGUGCCUUGAGUGCGCGGAACGUAUGCGGAAUUCGUGGUGUAGCGGUGAAAUGCUUAGAUAUCACGAAGAACUCCGAUUGCGAAGGCAGCAUACGGCAGCGUAACUGACGCUGAAGCUCGAAGGUGCGGGUAUCGAACAGGAUUAGAUACCCUGGUAGUCCGCACGGUAAACGAUGGAUGCCCGCUGUUGGCGAUAUAGUGUCAGCGGCCAAGCGAAAGCGUUAAGCAUCCCACCUGGGGAGUACGCCGGCAACGGUGAAACUCAAAGGAAUUGACGGGGGCCCGCACAAGCGGAGGAACAUGUGGUUUAAUUCGAUGAUACGCGAGGAACCUUACCCGGGCUUGAACUGCAGGUGAACGAUUCAGAGAUGAUGAGGUCCUUCGGGACACCUGUGGAGGUGCUGCAUGGUUGUCGUCAGCUCGUGCCGUGAGGUGUCGGCUUAAGUGCCAUAACGAGCGCAACCCCUGUUCUCAGUUGCCAUCGGGUCAUGCCGGGCACUCUGUGAAGACUGCCUCCGUAAGGAGUGAGGAGGGUGGGGAUGACGUCAAAUCAGCACGGCCCUUACGUCCGGGGCUACACACGUGUUACAAUGGGUGAUACAGAGAGUCGGCGGCCGGCAACGUCCGUCUAAUCUAUAAAGUCAUCCUCAGUUCGGACUGGGGUCUGCAACCCGACCCCACGAAGCUGGAUUCGCUAGUAAUCGCGCAUCAGCCAUGGCGCGGUGAAUACGUUCCCGGGCCUUGUACACACCGCCCGUCAAG